This 433-nucleotide ribosomal RNA is filed under the name uncultured bacterium. Its description in RNAcentral is "partial 16S ribosomal RNA". It matches the Rfam family "Bacterial small subunit ribosomal RNA", at positions 29 to 507 of the family's 1533-position model. The record is from RNAcentral.
AACGAACGCUGGCGGCAUGCCUAACACAUGCAAGUCGAACGAGACCUUCGGGUCUAGUGGCGCACGGGUGCGUAACGCGUGGGAACCUGCCCUUAGGUUCGGAAUAACUCCCCGAAAGGGGUACUAAUACCGGAUAAUAUCUUCGGACCAAAGAUUUAUCGCCUUUGGAUGGGCCCGCGUUGGAUUAGCUAGUUGGUAGGGUAAAAGCCUACCAAGGCGACGAUCCAUAGCUGGUCUGAGAGGAUGAUCAGCCACACUGGGACUGAGACACGGCCCAGACUCCUACGGGAGGCAGCAGUGGGGAAUAUUGGACAAUGGGCGAAAGCCUGAUCCAGCAAUGCCGCGUGAGUGAUGAAGGCCUUAGGGUUGUAAAGCUCUUUUACCCGGGAUGAUAAUGACAGUACCGGGAGAAUAAGCUCCGGCUAACUCCGUG